UGCAUUUGAAGCCCAUGAGGAUGAGAACCUCCGGGGGCGGGGAGGUUCGACUCAAGCGAAGCGAGAGAACGUUGCGCCAGCAACGGCCCGCAGGGCGAGCCACGAAGUGGCGAGUAAUCCUCUAUCACCGACCA
This 134-nucleotide small RNA is filed under the name Escherichia coli. RNAcentral's name for it is "RtT sRNA". It matches the Rfam family "RtT RNA". Rfam says of the family: This family represents a bacterial cis-regulatory element known as RtT RNA. The exact function of RtT is unknown although it is thought that it may be involved in changing the cellular response in relation to amino acid starvation. RNAcentral also lists the same sequence under 2 other names. Lineage: Bacteria; Pseudomonadati; Pseudomonadota; Gammaproteobacteria; Enterobacterales; Enterobacteriaceae. The record is from RNAcentral.